Lucilia cuprina (Australian sheep blowfly) is the source of this 152-nucleotide long non-coding RNA. RefSeq lists it as uncharacterized. The record is from RefSeq and is a predicted model, not a curated record. NCBI's taxonomy places the organism in Eukaryota, Metazoa, Arthropoda, Insecta, Diptera, Calliphoridae. The transcript is spliced from 3 exons.
GUAAGUCACGUUUAUUCUAUUCAGCAAUGUUUCAAUCUUGUACAACCAGUUGCAUACAUACAUUGGAAACUACACAUAUCUAUCACUGAUAUUCAAUGCCAGUUAAAGCAAGUAAAGAUUCUAAUAAUUUAAGUCAACAAACUAUUUAUUCA